UACAGAGGGGGCAAGCGUUGUUCGGAAUUACUGGGCGUAAAGGGCGCGUAGGCGGCCUUCUAAGUCGAACGUGAAAUCCCCGGGCUCAACCCGGGAACUGCGUCCGAUACUGGAUGGCUUGAGUUCGGGAGAGGGAUGCGGAAUUCCAGGUGUAGCGGUGAAAUGCGUAGAUAUCUGGAGGAACACCGGUGGCGAAGGCGGCAUCCUGGACCGAUACUGACGCUGAGGAGCGAAAGCCAGGGGAGCAAACGGG
Molecule: ribosomal RNA, 253 nt
Filed under: uncultured bacterium
Lineage: Bacteria
Description: partial 16S ribosomal RNA
Rfam family: Bacterial small subunit ribosomal RNA
Source: RNAcentral